This 253-nucleotide ribosomal RNA is filed under the name uncultured bacterium. RNAcentral's name for it is "partial 16S ribosomal RNA". It matches the Rfam family "Bacterial small subunit ribosomal RNA", at positions 524 to 776 of the family's 1533-position model. The record is from RNAcentral.
UACAGAGGUGGCAAGCGUUGUUCGGAAUUACUGGGCGUAAAGGGCGCGUAGGCGGCCUACUAAGUCAGACGUGAAAUCCCCCGGCUUAACCUGGGAACUGCGUCUGAUACUGGAAGGCUUGAGGAUGGGAGAGGGAUGUAGAAUUCCAGGCGUAGCGGUGAAAUGCGUAGAUAUCUGGAGGAAUACCGGUGGCGAAGGCGGCAUCCUGGACCAUUACUGACGCUGAGGCGCGAAAGCUAGGGGAGCAAACGGG